RNAcentral lists this ribosomal RNA (253 nucleotides) under uncultured bacterium. RNAcentral describes it as "partial 16S ribosomal RNA". It matches the Rfam family "Bacterial small subunit ribosomal RNA", at positions 524 to 776 of the family's 1533-position model. The record is from RNAcentral.
UACGUAGGGGGCAAGCGUUGUCCGGAAUCAUUGGGCGUAAAGCGCACGUAGGCGGUCUUUUAAGUCGGGGGUGAAAUCCUGGAGCUCAACUCCAGAACUGCCUUCGAUACUGGAAGACUCGAGUCCGGGAGAGGUGAGUGGAACUGCGAGUGUAGAGGUGAAAUUCGUAGAUAUUCGCAAGAACACCAGUGGCGAAGGCGGCUCACUGGCCCGGUACUGACGCUGAGGUGCGAAAGCGUGGGGAGCAAACAGG